AGCCCGGUGGUGUAGUGGUCUAGCAUAGCAUGGGCGUUUCGGGCCAGAAACACGGAAGCGUCCCUAGUCGGCUCUGGAUCCCCUCGAACAGAGGGUUGGAGCAACCUGCUGACGGGAGUUCGAAUCUCCCCCGGGCUACCA
This 141-nucleotide transfer RNA is filed under the name Candidatus Bathyarchaeota archaeon. RNAcentral describes it as "tRNA-OTHER". It matches the Rfam family "tRNA". From Rfam's summary of the family: Transfer RNA (tRNA) molecules are approximately 80 nucleotides in length. Their secondary structure includes four short double-helical elements and three loops (D, anti-codon, and T loops). Further hydrogen bonds mediate the characteristic L-shaped molecular structure. tRNAs have two regions of fundamental functional importance: the anti-codon, which is responsible for specific mRNA codon recognition, and the 3' end, to which the tRNAs corresponding amino acid is attached (by aminoacyl-tRNA synthetases). tRNAs cope with the degeneracy of the genetic code in two manners: having more than one tRNA (with a specific anti-codon) for a particular amino acid; and 'wobble' base-pairing, i.e. permitting non-standard base-pairing at the 3rd anti-codon position. The record is from RNAcentral. RNAcentral also lists the same sequence under 1 other name. Lineage: Archaea; Thermoproteati; Candidatus Bathyarchaeota.